AGUGAACGCUGGCGGUAGGCCUAACACAUGCAAGUCGAACGGCAGCACAGUAAGAGCUUGCUCUUACGGGUGGCGAGUGGCGGACGGGUGAGGAAUACAUCGGAAUCUACUUUUUCGUGGGGGAUAACGUAGGGAAACUUACGCUAAUACCGCAUACGACCUACGGGUGAAAGUAGGGGAUCUUCGGACCUUGCGCGGUUGAAUGAGCCGAUGUCGGAUUAGCUAGUUGGCGGGGUAAAGGCCCACCAAGGCGACGAUCCGUAGCUGGUCUGAGAGGAUGAUCAGCCACACUGGAACUGAGACACGGUCCAGACUCCUACGGGAGGCAGCAGUGGGGAAUAUUGGACAAUGGGCGCAAGCCUGAUCCAGCCAUACCGCGUGGGUGAAGAAGGCCUUCGGGUUGUAAAGCCCUUUUGUUGGGAAAGAAAAGCAGCAGGUUAAUACCCCGCUGUUCUGACGGUACCCAAAGAAUAAGCACCGGCUAACUUCGUG
Molecule: ribosomal RNA, 492 nt
Filed under: uncultured bacterium
Lineage: Bacteria
Description: partial 16S ribosomal RNA
Rfam family: Bacterial small subunit ribosomal RNA
Source: RNAcentral